Molecule: microRNA, 17 nt
Filed under: Macrophomina phaseolina MS6
Lineage: Eukaryota; Fungi; Ascomycota; Dothideomycetes; Botryosphaeriales; Botryosphaeriaceae
Description: miR-1281
Source: RNAcentral
UUGCCUUCUCCUCUCCC